This 468-nucleotide ribosomal RNA is filed under the name uncultured bacterium. Its description in RNAcentral is "partial 16S ribosomal RNA". It matches the Rfam family "Bacterial small subunit ribosomal RNA", at positions 28 to 507 of the family's 1533-position model. The record is from RNAcentral.
GACGAACGCUGGCGGCGUGCUUAACACAUGCAAGUCGAGCGGAAAGGCCCUGCUUUUGUGGGGUGCUCGAGUGGCGAACGGGUGAGUAACACGUGAGUAACCUGCCCUUGACUUUGGGAUAACUUCAGGAAACUGGGGCUAAUACCGGAUAGGAGCUCCUGCUUCAUGGUGGGGGUUGGAAAGUUUCGGCGGUUGGGGAUGGACUCGCGGCUUAUCAGCUUGUUGGUGGGGUAGUGGCUUACCAAGGCUUUGACGGGUAGCCGGCCUGAGAGGGUGACCGGCCACAUUGGGACUGAGAUACGGCCCAGACUCCUACGGGAGGCAGCAGUGGGGAAUAUUGCACAAUGGGCGGAAGCCUGAUGCAGCAACGCCGCGUGCGGGAUGACGGCCUUCGGGUUGUAAACCGCUUUCGCCUGUGACGAAGCGUGAGUGACGGUAAUGGGUAAAGAAGCACCGGCUAACUACGUG